AGGAGCAUAGUUUAAGGGUAGAAUCACGGUCUCCAAAACCGUUGGUGGGAGUUCGAAUCUCUCUGCUCCUG
This 71-nucleotide transfer RNA is filed under the name Alistipes sp. RNAcentral describes it as "tRNA-Trp". It matches the Rfam family "tRNA". Rfam says of the family: Transfer RNA (tRNA) molecules are approximately 80 nucleotides in length. Their secondary structure includes four short double-helical elements and three loops (D, anti-codon, and T loops). The record is from RNAcentral. Lineage: Bacteria; Pseudomonadati; Bacteroidota; Bacteroidia; Bacteroidales; Rikenellaceae.